Molecule: long non-coding RNA, 290 nt
Filed under: Mytilus galloprovincialis (Mediterranean mussel)
Lineage: Eukaryota; Metazoa; Mollusca; Bivalvia; Mytilida; Mytilidae
Source: RNAcentral
CGAUUUUAAUCUUAAUUUUGUAAUAUAUAAAUUUACAUUCACCAGAGGUCUAAAACCACAGUGACUCUAUUUUGUUAACUUUUUAAGUAUACAUAAAGAAUUUUUUCCAAUUAUACAUUUGUACAUUUAUACAGGAUCUAACAAACAAUGCUUAAUCAGUGUUGUCAGUUUGGAAAGUAAUGAUAGACCAUACACAGCCUAAAGAUAGUAUUUAGGAUAAUGACCUUUUUUGAUAGUCUGGCAUAAAUUGGGGAUUUUACAAUAUAUUAUAGAAACAUUUGAUUUUUCAC